This 633-nucleotide ribosomal RNA is filed under the name uncultured eukaryote. RNAcentral describes it as "SSU rRNA". It matches the Rfam family "Eukaryotic small subunit ribosomal RNA", at positions 341 to 999 of the family's 1831-position model. The record is from RNAcentral.
CUACCAUGGCAGUCACGGGUAACGGAGAAUUAGGGUUCGAUUCCGGAGAGGGAGCCUGAGAAACGGCUACCACAUCUACGGAAGGCAGCAGGCGCGCAAAUUGCCCAAUCCCGACACGGGGAGGCAGUGACAAGAAAUAACAACUCUAGGUUUUCUUAGAAGUGUAAUGAGGAUAAUUUACAAACCUUACCAAAUGCAAUUGGAGGGCAAGUCUGGUGCCAGCAGCCGCGGUAAUUCCAGCUCCAAUAGCGUAUAUUAAAGUUGUUGCAGUUAAAAAGCUCGUAGUUGAAAAUCUGAUUGCUCAGGUCUCCAGCCUUUAGGCGGGGAUUCUGACAGUCAUCCGCUUGCAAACAUAUGUUCGAUCUUCACCGGUUGGCUAUGUGAGUAAGCACUUUAUCUUGAGAAAAACAGAGUGUUCCAGGCAGGUUUGUCCGGAAUGCAUUAGCAUGGAAUAAUAGAACAUGACUGAAGUCUAUUUAUUGGUUAAAGGCUUUAGUAAUGAUUAAUAGGAACAGUCGGGGGCAUUCGUACUCAGCAGUCAGAGGUGAAAUUCUAAGAUUUGCUGAAGACGAACUAAUGCGAAAGCAUUUGCCAAGGAUGUUUCCAUUAAUCAAGAACGAAAGUUAGGGGAUC